Molecule: ribosomal RNA, 576 nt
Filed under: Hanseniaspora guilliermondii
Lineage: Eukaryota; Fungi; Ascomycota; Saccharomycetes; Saccharomycodales; Saccharomycodaceae
Description: partial large subunit ribosomal RNA
Rfam family: Eukaryotic large subunit ribosomal RNA
Source: RNAcentral
GCAUAUCAAUAAGCGGAGGAAAAGAAACCAACUGGGAUUACCUUAGUAACGGCGAGUGAAGCGGUAAAAGCUCAAAUUUGAAAUCUGGUACUUUCAGUGCCCGAGUUGUAAUUUGUAGAAUUUGUCUUUGAUUAGGUCCUUGUCUAUGUUCCUUGGAACAGGACGUCAUAGAGGGUGAGAAUCCCGUUUGGCGAGGAUACCUUUUCUCUGUAAGACUUUUUCGAAGAGUCGAGUUGUUUGGGAAUGCAGCUCAAAGUGGGUGGUAAAUUCCAUCUAAAGCUAAAUAUUGGCGAGAGACCGAUAGCGAACAAGUACAGUGAUGGAAAGAUGAAAAGAACUUUGAAAAGAGAGUGAAAAAGUACGUGAAAUUGUUGAAAGGGAAGGGCAUUUGAUCAGACAUGGUGUUUUUUGCAUGUACUCGCCUCUCGUGGUCUUGGGCCUCUCAAAAAUUUCACUGGGCCAACAUCAGUUCUGGCAGCAGGAUAAAUCAUUAAGAAUGUAGCUACCUCGGUAGUGUUAUAGCUUAUUGGAAUACUGCUAGCUGGGAUUGAGGACUGCGCUUCGGCAAGGAUGUUG